UGGUUCUGGCAUCGAUGAAGAACGCAGCGAAAUGCGAUAAGUAAUGUGAAUUGCAGAAUUUAGUGAAUCAUCGAAUCUUUGAACGCACAUUGCACUCCUUGGUAUUCCGGGGAGUAUGCUUGUCCGAGCGUCAUUUCACCUCUCGAGCUCACGCUUGGUAUUGGAUUUUGCCGGUAAUCGACAUUUCCGAAAAUGAGUGGCGGGUUGUUGAACUUCAGCGAAUUGAAACAUUAUCGUAUCAAGUCUCAUCACGCCUUGCCAGAAAACCUUCAAUAUCUUGACCUCGGAUCAAGUAGGGAUACCCGCUGA
This 309-nucleotide unclassified non-coding RNA is filed under the name uncultured fungus. RNAcentral describes it as "partial contains 5.8S ribosomal RNA and internal transcribed spacer 2". The stretch from base 1 to 133 matches the Rfam family "5.8S ribosomal RNA", at positions 22 to 154 of the family's 154-position model. Lineage: Eukaryota; Fungi. The record is from RNAcentral.